This 440-nucleotide ribosomal RNA is filed under the name uncultured bacterium. RNAcentral's name for it is "partial 16S ribosomal RNA". It matches the Rfam family "Bacterial small subunit ribosomal RNA", at positions 338 to 795 of the family's 1533-position model. The record is from RNAcentral.
CCUACGGGAGGCAGCAGUGAGGGAUAUUGGUCAAUGGGGGAAACCCUGAACCAGCAACGCCGCGUGAGGGAAGACGGUUUUCGGAUUGUAAACCUCUGUCCUCUGUGAAGAUAAUGACGGUAGCAGAGGAGGAAGCUCCGGCUAACUACGUGCCAGCAGCCGCGGUAAUACGUAGGGAGCAAGCGUUGUCCGGAUUUACUGGGUGUAAAGGGUGCGUAGGCGGCCAUGCAAGUCAGAAGUGAAAGCCAUGGGCUUAACCCGUGAACUGCUUUUGAAACUGUAGGGCUUGAGUGAAGUAGAGGCAGGCGGAAUUCCCGGUGUAGCGGUGAAAUGCGUAGAGAUCGGGAGGAACACCAGUGGCGAAGGCGGCCUACUGGGCUUUAACUGACGCUGAAGCACGAAAGCGUGGGUAGCAAACAGGAUUAGAUACCCGGGUAGUC